CACAUUUGGAAUUUUUAAUUUUCUUUAAUUUUUUUCCAAGGAGAAAAUGGAAGUUUAGUGUUAUAAACUAUUGGAAAAAGAAAGUUAUUCAGUAAACUUUAUUUCUUACUAUUAGAAAAAUGAAAGGUAUUCAAUACAUGGUAUUUCUCAGUUGUUUUUAUAUCCUCAGCAGAUAUAGUUGAUUGGUUUUUUUUUAAUGUUAAUUGAAAAUGAUUUAUUACUAGUGUAUGAGCUAAAACUGCAGUACUUAACUCUCAUUGCAGUAUACAUAUUUUCUAAAGGAAAAAAUCAGGACGAUUUACUGCAACCUACAGUUGCACCAGAUUUUUAACCCAUUUAAAAAAAAAUCUAAAAUUAUUAAACCUAGUAAGAAAGAAAAAAAAGUUCUUUUACAGUUUACACAUUUACAAAAAGAUACAGUUGAAUGAGAAAUCUAAAUGUCAAAAGAGCAGACUAUAAAAUGCCAUAUUCCUUAAGAAACAACAAAAGAAGACGAAUUAAAUUGUACUUCACAAUAUAAUGUAUACCAAUCAUUCAGUAAUCUAAGAGCCUCUCUGGAUUUUGCUGCGAUAGGAAUACUAAAAACCAAUUUGGAAAAGAUGUAUAAGUACUUAAUUCUGUCUGGAUCAAAGAGACUUACAAAGAAUAGCCAAUCUAACUAUGGUUAACUAAGUUUCUUAAUAAUUUAUAUAUUUAUUAAAAAGAAUACUAUUUUUUAUUAAAAAAUAAUACAAGAAAAGUAUUUUAUAAAUCUUGUUAGUACUGAUGCAUUGACUAUUAAGCUGAUGUUAAGAUGUCACUACAAUCUACAUUACAGACUACAAUGGCAAUCUGACAUGCAGGAUAACAGAUUAAAACGGUGCAUUUAUAGUGCUAAAAGUUUGAAACAAAGUCAAUAAAUUUAUUAAUUUAUUUCAUUUUAUUUCCUUUUCCAAGUAAUAUGUUUAUUUCAGCAUUAAGUUAUUUUUAACAUAUUGUGUAUUUUUCUGAACCUAUGCUUAUACAUGAUGAAAUGAAAUUAAAAGCAAA
Molecule: long non-coding RNA, 1029 nt
Filed under: Mytilus galloprovincialis (Mediterranean mussel)
Lineage: Eukaryota; Metazoa; Mollusca; Bivalvia; Mytilida; Mytilidae
Source: RNAcentral